RNAcentral lists this non-coding RNA (79 nucleotides) under Schistosoma japonicum. The record is from RNAcentral. Lineage: Eukaryota; Metazoa; Platyhelminthes; Trematoda; Strigeidida; Schistosomatidae.
GCGAUAUUUAUGGGCCUGUAGUUAUGCAAGUUUGUCCUGUCACGAAUUCUGUAUAGCUAGUAGCCAAGUAGGUAGCGUC